RNAcentral lists this long non-coding RNA (1382 nucleotides) under Pan troglodytes (chimpanzee). Its description in RNAcentral is "long non-coding RNA NONPTRT015331". The record is from RNAcentral. Lineage: Eukaryota; Metazoa; Chordata; Mammalia; Primates; Hominidae.
GAAUUAUGGUACCCAUUUCAUGCAGGAGAAAACUCGGGGAACUCAGGGGACAAUCCUUUGGUGGUAUCUCUAGUUGGUGGCAAAACCAGGUCUGGGAUUCUGUUCCCUUAACUCUUGAGUGUCACUACUCAGUGGUUUUGUUUUCCAAGGAAGAAGGCCUGGAUAUUAUGGAUUUUUUUAAAAAAACCAAGGUAAAGGAAAAUAUGUAACAACGGAAAAUAAGUGUUUAUAAUAUCAUGGUGAAUUUAGAAAGGGUAAAAUUGCGUAUGUGAUUAUAAUUAUGUGAAAAGAUGCAUAGCGACUAUACCAAAAUUCUCUCCAGGGCAUGACAGAGUCGUGGGAAUCGCUGGAACGUUUCUAGAGGCGCUGGAUCCAGGGCAAAAAUGAAGACAUAAGGGACCUUAGGUGACAAGGAAGAAGCUCCCAGGCAGCAUGUGGGAUGGACCCAAGGAGAACGUCAGAGAGAAAGAGUUCAGUCUGGUGUCUCCUGAAGCAGGUUAAAAUUAAGCUCGGCAGGCUCGAUGUAAAUGUGCAGACAAAGCAAAGCAGGAAGCCUCCCACACUAAAAAGGGAAGAUAAGAAUCACAGAAGCUGGGAUGGUUUUUAUUGAAGGGCAUUUCAAAGCAAAUACAGACAUCUACAGCAUAUUUGUAAAUCCUCCGUAUGUGUAUGGAAACACACACCUUCACACAUCAAAACUGGAUUUGUUCCUGAGUAACAAAACGUCCUAAGAACAAAAUGAAAGAAAACCAAAUAGCAGAAAAAUACUUCCAAUGUAUACCACAAAGGAUUAUUUAUUAACUCAACACACCAAGAGUUAAGAAAAUAAUGCAACAGGAACAAAGGGCAAAGGAUAUGUACUGGGAAGACCACAGAGAAAGAAAAUGCAAAUGGCUAAUAAUAUAAAAUAUUUCCUAGGUUCAAUAGUAACCAGGGAAAGACAAAAUUACACUUUUGACCUCUUAGACUGGCAGUGACAAAGAUUAUUUGAGUGACCAAGCUUUAGUCAGGCUCUUGGAUCUUCUAGGCCCAUCUGGGCACUUCCUGGUAAAAUACAGUUUUAACAAAAGCCCUGCUAAAUUGGUUUACCGAGAACUCCCACCCUCAAUCGAGUUCCUUAGCCCUUCACCUUUCCUCAGGUGAGGGCUGAUCAUCCUGUCCUGUCUUCAGCAAGAGUGCUCUAACGCUGACGUUUCCUUUUAGUAAUUUUCCAUCCACUGACACCCACUUGUAAUUUAUAGCCAAGGAGCAAGAUACACUGCUCCUUGGCUAUAAGUUAUUUUCCCUGUUACAUUCAGAGUUGAGCCCAAUCCCUCUCCCCGACUACAAAAUCGAUAGCAGUGGUCCCUAUACCUAUUGCAAUGGUCCUAAAUAAAAUCUGC